CCUACGGGAGGCUGCAGUGAGGAAUAUUGGUCAAUGGACGAGAGUCUGAACCAGCCAAGUAGCGUGAAGGAUGACUGCCCUAUGGGUUGUAAACUUCUUUUAUAUGGGAAUAAAACGUUCCACGUGUGGGAUUUUGUAUGUACCAUAUGACUAAGGAUCGGCUAACUCCGUGCCAGCAGCCGCGGUAAUACGGAGGAUCCGAGCGUUAUCCGGAUUUAUUGGGUUUAAAGGGUGCGUAGGUGGAUGGUUAAGUCAGGUGUGAAAGGUUGCGGCUCAACCGUAAAAUUGCAGUUGAAACUGGCAGGCUUGAGUACAGUAGAGGUAGGCGGAAUGCGUGGUGUAGCGGUGAAAUGCUUAGAUAUCACGAAGAACUCCGAUUGCGAAGGCAGUUCACUGGACUGCAACUGACACUGAGGCUCGAAAGUGUGGGUAUCAAACAGGAUUAGAUACCCCUGUAGUC
RNAcentral lists this ribosomal RNA (460 nucleotides) under uncultured bacterium. Its description in RNAcentral is "partial 16S ribosomal RNA". It matches the Rfam family "Bacterial small subunit ribosomal RNA", at positions 338 to 795 of the family's 1533-position model. The record is from RNAcentral.